This 824-nucleotide ribosomal RNA is filed under the name uncultured bacterium. Its description in RNAcentral is "bacterial SSU rRNA". It matches the Rfam family "Bacterial small subunit ribosomal RNA", at positions 8 to 817 of the family's 1533-position model. The record is from RNAcentral.
AGAGUUUGAUCAUGGCUCAGAAUGAACGCUGGCGGCGUGCCUAACACAUGCAAGUCGUACGAGAAAGGGGCUUCGGCCCUGAGUAGAGUGGCGCACGGGUGAGUAACGCGUGGGUAAUCUACCCUUGGAUUUGGGAUAACUCUGCGAAAGUGGAGCUAAUACCGGAUAGUCUGGCUUUAAAUAAGAAGUCGGUAAAGGAUGCCUCUGCAUAUGCAUUCGUCCGAGGAUGAGCCCGCGUCUCAUUAGCUAGUUGGUAGGGUAAUGGCCUACCAAGGCAACGAUGAGUAGCUGGUCUGAGAGGAUGAUCAGCCACACUGGAACUGAAACACGGUCCAGACUCCUACGGGAGGCAGCAGUGGGGAGUAUUGCGCAAUGGGCGAAAGCCUGACGCAGCAACGCCGUGUGAGGGAUGAAGGCUUUCGGGUCGUAAACCUCUGUCGGAAGGGAAGAACGGGCAUUGGUCUAAUAGGCCUUUGUUUUGACGGUACCUUUAGAGGAAGCACCGGCUAACUCCGUGCCAGCAGCCGCGGUAAUACGGAGGGUGCAAGCGUUAUUCGGAAUUACUGGGCGUAAAGCGCACGUAGGCGGCCUUGUAAGUCAGGGGUGAAAUCCCACGGCUCAACCGUGGAACUGCCUUUGAAACUGCAGGGCUUGAAUCCUGGAGAGGGUGGCGGAAUUCCUGGUGUAGGAGUGAAAUCCGUAGAUAUCACGAGGAACACCGGUGGCGACGCGGCCACCUGGACAGGUAUUGACGCUGAGGUGCGAAAGUGUGGGGAGCAACAGGAUUAGAUACCCUGGUAGUCCACACCGUAACGAUGGAUACU